CCCGGCCAAGGAGGAGCAGCGCGUCGCCUGUGCGUGCACCUGAGUGCACAGACGAACUGAUGGCGAGCACUUUGGAAUAGGAGUGGGGGUGCGCUUAUAGAUAGGUCAAAGAAAGGGACGGCGAGAAGAGAGACAGAGAGUUAGGGGUGUUAGGGUUGCGGCCACUGACACGAACUCCCCAGGCACGAACUCCACGCGGCGCUCGCCCCUCGACGCAGGUACUUCGCGGUGGUGCUGCUCGACGCGGGCGCCGGUGCCGCUCGACGCGCCGGCACGGGUAGCUCGCUCCAGCACCUCGCCGGCCGGACACCGCCUCCGACAAACACAGGAGCCGGGCUGCUGCUACGCGUCUCCCCUGCGCGACCCCUGGGCCACGACCUUGGCCGUACCCCUAGACGAAGUUGGUCGUCGCCCUAAACGAAGUUGCCGCUCCUACCACCACCUGCCGCUGUUUCCACAGGCAGCACCUCUCCUGUUACAGCCCGCUGGUGCCGGCGUCCACGGUACUAAAAACGACGUGUCUAAAAAACGACCUUGGUUGUAAAACUGAACAACGUUAGCCGUUCCUACCACGACCCCGUCGAUGCCGCUGCUGCGGUACUAAAAAAACAAACGACGUAACUAGAAAAAAGAAGAAAACUCCUUGGUAAAAAGUAAAAACGACCUUGAUAUAGUUAAAAAACAACCUUGGUACACACGAAAAACGACCUUGGUAUAGUUACAUAAAGCGACCUUAGUAUCGUAAAAACGACGUUGGUGUAAUAAUAAACGACCUUGGUAUAAUUAAUAAACGACCUUGGUACACCAAACGAAAGUUCGACCGUAACGAAACAAAAAAGACGACGUUGGCUGCUCGCCGCUACGGCUGCCGCUCGCUGCUCGCAACCCCUUGGUCGCCUCGAAGGUCCAGCGCGCCCGUACCUCCAGCGCGCCCGUACCUAGCUACUGUGAAAAACACAAAACAAAGGAAACACGCACGCCCUUUACUGUCUUUUUCCCUUCCUUCUCCUCUUCUCUAGACUACCAAGCGAUGAAGGUUUAGCCUACCGAUCGUCGGCUGGCCGGCUCUCUAAUCCGGCCACGCGGCCGCGGAUAGCAACGGGUUCCCUAUUUGGAUAAACCGACUCUACUACAUGUUCAGCUUCUACGGGAUCGUCACUUUAGGAACCCAAACUACGAAGUACACUGCUU
Molecule: ribosomal RNA, 1191 nt
Filed under: Triticum aestivum (bread wheat)
Lineage: Eukaryota; Viridiplantae; Streptophyta; Magnoliopsida; Poales; Poaceae
Description: partial small subunit ribosomal RNA
Source: RNAcentral